This 465-nucleotide ribosomal RNA is filed under the name uncultured Klebsiella sp. RNAcentral describes it as "bacterial SSU rRNA". It matches the Rfam family "Bacterial small subunit ribosomal RNA", at positions 338 to 795 of the family's 1533-position model. Lineage: Bacteria; Pseudomonadati; Pseudomonadota; Gammaproteobacteria; Enterobacterales; Enterobacteriaceae. The record is from RNAcentral.
CCUACGGGUGGCUGCAGUGAGGAGUAUUGCACAAUGGGCGCAAGCCUGAUGCAGCCAUGCCGCGUGUGUGAAGAAGGCCUUCGGGUUGUAAAGCACUUUCAGCGGGGAGGAAGGCGGUGAGGUUAAUAACCUCAUCGAUUGACGUUACCCGCAGAAGAAGCACCGGCUAACUCCGUGCCAGCAGCCGCGGUAAUACGGAGGGUGCAAGCGUUAAUCGGAAUUACUGGGCGUAAAGCGCACGCAGGCGGUCUGUCAAGUCGGAUGUGAAAUCCCCGGGCUCAACCUGGGAACUGCAUUCAAAACUGGCAGGCUAGAGUCUUGUAGAGGGGGGUAGAAUUCCAGGUGUAGCGGUGAAAUGCGUAGAGAUCUGGAGGAAUACCGGUGGCGAAGGCGGCCCCCUGGACAAAGACUGACGCUCAGGUGCGAAAGCGUGGGGAGCAAACAGGAUUAGAUACCCCGGUAGUC